GGAUGCAUAGCUCAGUUGGUAGAGCAGCUGACUCUUAAUCAGCGGGUCCUAGGUUCGAGCCCUAGUGCAUCCACCA
This 76-nucleotide transfer RNA is filed under the name Sphingosinicella soli. RNAcentral's name for it is "tRNA-Lys". It matches the Rfam family "tRNA". Rfam says of the family: Transfer RNA (tRNA) molecules are approximately 80 nucleotides in length. Their secondary structure includes four short double-helical elements and three loops (D, anti-codon, and T loops). RNAcentral also lists the same sequence under 8 other names. The record is from RNAcentral. Lineage: Bacteria; Pseudomonadati; Pseudomonadota; Alphaproteobacteria; Sphingomonadales; Sphingosinicellaceae.